UAGGGAAUCUUCCACAAUGGACGCAAGUCUGAUGGAGCAACGCCGCGUGAGUGAAGAAGGCUUUCGGGUCGUAAAACUCUGUUAUUGAAGAAGAACGUGUGUGACAGUAACUGGUCAUGCAGUGACGGUAUUCAAUCAGAAAGUCACGGCUAACUACGUGCCAGCAGCCGCGGUAAUACGUAGGUGGCAAGCGUUGUCCGGAUUUAUUGGGCGUAAAGCGAGUGCAGGCGGUCUUUUAAGUCUGAUGUGAAAGCCUUCGGCUUAACCGAAGAAGGGCAUCGGAAACUGGGAGACUUGAGUGCAGAAGAGGAGAGUGGAACCUCCAUGUGUAGCGGUGAAA
Molecule: ribosomal RNA, 340 nt
Filed under: uncultured bacterium
Lineage: Bacteria
Description: partial 16S ribosomal RNA
Rfam family: Bacterial small subunit ribosomal RNA
Source: RNAcentral